CCCUGGUUCUUUUCCUGGGUCGGGAAGUUCCCCUGGAGAAGGGACGGGCUACCCACUCCAGUAUUCUUGGGCUUCCCCAAGUGGACAUUUCCCCAAGGUUUCAUAACUUUGGUAAUAAAGGAGAAAGAGAAUGCUUGGAAAAAAGGACGUAAAGCAUAUUUUUGGAAAGCGUCAGAGCUCAGCGGUUAUGAGCCUGGGCUGAGGUUUCAGUUUUGCCUCCUUUUCUUGCAGGUUGACCUCUAGUGAAGCGCGCAGCCACGUUUGAAUCCGUCUCUUCCUAUGUGUGGUAGGGAUGAUGACAGUACUGAACGAGACCCCAACGGAAGGAGUGUAUCGUCCGAAUGGAUGCCCCAGACUG
Capra hircus (goat) is the source of this 358-nucleotide long non-coding RNA. RefSeq lists it as uncharacterized. The record is from RefSeq and is a predicted model, not a curated record. The transcript is spliced from 2 exons. Lineage: Eukaryota; Metazoa; Chordata; Mammalia; Artiodactyla; Bovidae.